Molecule: ribosomal RNA, 455 nt
Filed under: Leptothrix sp. oral taxon 026
Lineage: Bacteria; Pseudomonadati; Pseudomonadota; Betaproteobacteria; Burkholderiales; Sphaerotilaceae
Description: bacterial SSU rRNA
Rfam family: Bacterial small subunit ribosomal RNA
Source: RNAcentral
CGGGCGUCUUAACAUGCAAGUCGAACGGCAGCGCGGGCUUCGGCCUGCGGCGAGUGGCGAACGGGUGAGUAAUGCAUCGGAACGUGCCCAGUAGUGGGGGAUAGCCCGGCGAAAGCCGGAUUAAUACCGCAUACGACCUGAGGGUGAAAGCGGGGGACCGAAAGGCCUCGCGCUAUUGGAGCGGCCGAUGUCGGAUUAGCUAGUUGGUGGGGUAAAGGCUUACCAAGGCGACGAUCCGUAGCUGGUCUGAGAGGACGACCAGCCACACUGGGACUGAGACACGGCCCAGACUCCUACGGGAGGCAGCAGUGGGGAAUUUUGGACAAUGGGGGCAACCCUGAUCCAGCCAUGCCGCGUGCGGGAAGAAGGCCUUCGGGUUGUAAACCGCUUUUGUUCGGGAAGAAAUCCUCUGGGCUUAAUACCCCGGGGGGAUGACGGUACCGGAAGAAUAAGCA